RNAcentral lists this ribosomal RNA (253 nucleotides) under uncultured bacterium. RNAcentral's name for it is "partial 16S ribosomal RNA". It matches the Rfam family "Bacterial small subunit ribosomal RNA", at positions 524 to 776 of the family's 1533-position model. The record is from RNAcentral.
UACGUAGGGGGCAAGCGUUGUCCGGAAUCAUUGGGCGUAAAGAGCGUGUAGGCGGCUUGGUAAGUCCGCUGUGAAAGUCCAGGGCUCAACCCUGGAAAGCCGGUGGAAACUGUCAAGCUUGAGUCCGGAAGAGGCGAGUGGAAUUCCUGGUGUAGCGGUGAAAUGCGCAGAUAUCAGGAGGAACACCAAUGGCGAAGGCAGCCCGCUGGGACGGUACUGACGCUGAGACGCGAAAGCGUGGGGAGCAAACAGG